RNAcentral lists this ribosomal RNA (497 nucleotides) under uncultured bacterium. Its description in RNAcentral is "partial 16S ribosomal RNA". It matches the Rfam family "Bacterial small subunit ribosomal RNA", at positions 28 to 507 of the family's 1533-position model. The record is from RNAcentral.
GAUGAACGCUGGCGGCGUGCCUAAUACAUGCAAGUCGAGCGAACAGACGAGGAGCUUGCUCCUCUGACGUUAGCGGCGGACGGGUGAGUAACACGUGGAUAACCUACCUAUAAGACUGGGAUAACUUCGGGAAACCGGAGCUAAUACCGGAUAAUAUAUUGAACCGCAUGGUUCAAUAGUGAAAGACGGUUUUGCUGUCACUUAUAGAUAGAUCCGCGCCGCAUUAGCUAGUUGGUAAGGUAACGGCUUACCAAGGCAACGAUGCGUAGCCGACCUGAGAGGGUGAUCAGCCACACUGGAACUGAGACACGGUCCAGACUCCUACGGGAGGCAGCAGUAGGGAAUCUUCCGCAAUGGGCGAAAGCCUGACGGAGCAACGCCGCGUGAGUGAUGAAGGUCUUCGGAUCGUAAAACUCUGUUAUUAGGGAAGAACAAAUGUGUAAGUAACUAUGCACGUCUUGACGGUACCUAAUCAGAAAGCCACGGCUAACUACGUG